This 508-nucleotide ribosomal RNA is filed under the name Bacillus velezensis. RNAcentral's name for it is "bacterial SSU rRNA". It matches the Rfam family "Bacterial small subunit ribosomal RNA", at positions 930 to 1439 of the family's 1533-position model. Lineage: Bacteria; Bacillati; Bacillota; Bacilli; Caryophanales; Bacillaceae. The record is from RNAcentral.
CGGUGGAGCAUGUGGUUUAAUUCGAAGCAACGCGAAGAACCUUACCAGGUCUUGACAUCCUCUGACAAUCCUAGAGAUAGGACGUCCCCUUCGGGGGCAGAGUGACAGGUGGUGCAUGGUUGUCGUCAGCUCGUGUCGUGAGAUGUUGGGUUAAGUCCCGCAACGAGCGCAACCCUUGAUCUUAGUUGCCAGCAUUCAGUUGGGCACUCUAAGGUGACUGCCGGUGACAAACCGGAGGAAGGUGGGGAUGACGUCAAAUCAUCAUGCCCCUUAUGACCUGGGCUACACACGUGCUACAAUGGACAGAACAAAGGGCAGCGAAACCGCGAGGUUAAGCCAAUCCCACAAAUCUGUUCUCAGUUCGGAUCGCAGUCUGCAACUCGACUGCGUGAAGCUGGAAUCGCUAGUAAUCGCGGAUCAGCAUGCCGCGGUGAAUACGUUCCCGGGCCUUGUACACACCGCCCGUCACACCACGAGAGUUUGUAACACCCGAAGUCGGUGAGGUAAC